GUCGAGAAUCUUCCGCAAUGGGCGAAAGCCUGACGGAGCGACACCGCGUGCAGGAUGAAGGCCUUCGGGUUGUAAACUGCUGUCACGCCAUAGGAACCCCGCAAGGGUUGACUAAAGCGAGAGGAAGCAACGGCUAACUCUGUGCCAGCAGCCGCGGUAAGACAGAGGUUGCAAACGUUGUUCGGAAUUACUGGGCAUAAAGCGCACGUAGGCGGCUAGCCAAGUCAAGCGUGAAAUCCCCCGGCUCAACCGGGGAACUGCGCCUGAUACUGACUGGCUUGAGAACGGUAGGGGUGAGCGGAACUCCAGGUGGAGCGGUGAAAUGCGUAGAUAUCUGGAGGAACACCGGUGGCGAAAGCGGCUCACUGGACCGUAACUGACGCUGAGGUGCGAAAGCUAGGGUAGCAAACGGGAUUAGAUACCCGUGUAGUCC
RNAcentral lists this ribosomal RNA (433 nucleotides) under uncultured bacterium. RNAcentral describes it as "bacterial SSU rRNA". It matches the Rfam family "Bacterial small subunit ribosomal RNA", at positions 354 to 796 of the family's 1533-position model. The record is from RNAcentral.